CACCGCGGUUAGACGAGAGGCCCCAGUUAAUGGUAUUCCGGCGUAAAGGGUGGUUAAGGAGAACAAAUAAUAAAGCCAAAUGGCCCCUUGGCCGUCAUACGCUUCUGGGUGCCCGAAGCCCAAUUAUACGAAAGUAGCUUUAGUAAACCCACCUGACCCCACGAAAACUGAGAAACAAACUGGGAUUAGAUACCCCACUAUGCUCAGCUGUAAACCCAGAUGCCCCGAUACAAUUAGGCAUCCGCCAGGGUACUACGAGCAUCAGCUUGAAACCCAAAGGACCUGACGGUGCCUUAGACCCCCCUAGAGGAGCCUGUUCUAGAACCGAUAACCCCCGUUAAACCUCACCACUUCUAGCCACCCCAGCCUAUAUACCGCCGUCGCCAGCUUACCCUGUGAAGGCAAUAAAAGUAAGCAAAAUGGGCAGAACCCAGAACGUCAGGUCGAGGUGUAGCGUACGAAGCGGGAAGAAAUGGGCUACAUUUUCUAUAAUAGAAUACUACGGAUAUGCAACAUGAAAUAGUGCUUGAAGGAGGAUUUAGUAGUAAAAAGGAAACAGAGUGUCCUUUUGAACCCGGCUCUAAGGCGCGUACACACCGCCCGUCACUCUCCCCUGUCUAAACGCAAUUAAGAUAUUUAACACCAAAGCACUGACAAGGGGAGGCAAGUCGUAACAUGGUAAGUGUACCGGAAGGUGCACUUGGAUAAAACUCAGGGCGUGGCUGAG
RNAcentral lists this ribosomal RNA (727 nucleotides) under Sarcocheilichthys variegatus wakiyae. RNAcentral's name for it is "partial small subunit ribosomal RNA". It matches the Rfam family "Bacterial small subunit ribosomal RNA", at positions 513 to 1533 of the family's 1533-position model. The record is from RNAcentral. Lineage: Eukaryota; Metazoa; Chordata; Actinopteri; Cypriniformes; Gobionidae.